GACGGAGGGGGCUAGCGUUGUCCGGAAUCAUUGGGCGUAAAGCGCGCGUAGGUGGCUUCGUAAGUCCGUUGUGAAAGUCAAAGGCUCAACCUUUGAAAGCCGAUGGAUACUGCGGAGCUAGAGUACGGAAGAGGCGAGUGGAAUUCCUGGUGUAGCGGUGGAAUGCGCAGAUAUCAGGAGGAACACCAAUAGCGAAGGCAGCUCGCUGGGACGUUACUGACACUGAGGCGCGAAAGCGUGGGGAGCGAACAGG
RNAcentral lists this ribosomal RNA (253 nucleotides) under uncultured bacterium. RNAcentral's name for it is "partial 16S ribosomal RNA". It matches the Rfam family "Bacterial small subunit ribosomal RNA", at positions 524 to 776 of the family's 1533-position model. The record is from RNAcentral.